RNAcentral lists this ribosomal RNA (429 nucleotides) under uncultured archaeon. RNAcentral describes it as "bacterial SSU rRNA". It matches the Rfam family "Archaeal small subunit ribosomal RNA", at positions 474 to 903 of the family's 1478-position model. The record is from RNAcentral.
UACCUGCAGCUCGAGUGGUGACCGCUAUUAUUGGGCCUAAAGCGUCCGUAGCCGGUUUGGUAAAUAUCUGGGUAAAUCGUGAGGCUUAACUUCACGAAUUUCGGAUAGACUGCCAGACUUGGGAUCGGGGGAGGUCAGAGGUACUCCAGGGGUAGCGGUGAAAUGUUGUAAUCCUUGGAGGACCACCGGUAGCGAAGGCGUCUGACUAGAACGAGUCCGACGGUGAGGGACGAAGCCCUGGGGCGCAAACCGGAUUAGAUACCCGGGUAGUCCAGGGUGUAAACAAUGUGGGCUUUGUAUUGGAGAUCCCACGUGGGUGUCCAGUGCAGAAGAGAAGUUGUUAAGCCCACCGCCUGGGAUGUACGGUCGCAAGGCUGAAACUUAAAGGAAUUGGCGGGGGAGCACAGCAACGGGAGGAGCGUGCGGUUU